UGGCAAUUCCCCAAGGGCACCCUAACACAUUGUGUUGCAACUGCCCGUUCACUGGUGUGAGAGAGGAAGGUCAAAAUGUACGUGCCUAGACUCAGGUGCAAAAAAAUCAUCAAGUGAAACUUUUUCUGUAAAGGACCUCAUGUUAUUUUAAAAUUCUCAUGUCACCUACAAAUGGGUGGAAGAAAACCCUUGAAAUUGCUAUCCCGUGUAUCACUUUUAAUUUAAAAAAUCUUGAAAAUAUUUAGUCAAUUCAAAGCUCCAUCUCCCUUCAGAGCUGCCUCUGGUCUCUCAGGGUUCUUCUCUUCAGGAUCUCCUUCUCUCCCAGAAGGCAUCUGAGCCUAGGAGCACUUUGUGGUUGUAGCAAAAGGGGUCUCUGCUCUGAAUCCUGCCUCUUCUGGGCAUCCUUUGUUGUCCCUUGAGGUGUGGCUGGUGCCUUCUGCAUGGUUUGAGCCUUGUGCCGGGGCUCAGUGCUGACUGUGCCCACUCAAUGCCCUUUGUGAGGUUUCUGCUCUCUGUGGCCUUCUUGUCCCAACCUCAGGCCUCCACAUGUGACUUCUGCACCUCAUCUCUGGGAUGGUUUCAGUGGGUCCUAGAUUGCUUUCUGUGCUCCCUGGGACAGUUGGUGGCACUCUGUGAGCCUACUCUCAGACCAGUCCUUUCCAUCAUGGGCUCCUGUGGAAAAUGA
Long non-coding RNA from Pan paniscus (pygmy chimpanzee), 685 nucleotides. The record is from Ensembl. NCBI's taxonomy places the organism in Eukaryota, Metazoa, Chordata, Mammalia, Primates, Hominidae.